Molecule: long non-coding RNA, 411 nt
Organism: Galeopterus variegatus (Sunda flying lemur)
Lineage: Eukaryota; Metazoa; Chordata; Mammalia; Dermoptera; Cynocephalidae
Exons: 3
Source: RefSeq, a predicted model, not a curated record
GAAAGCUGUGAUAACUCCAGAGUGUCUUCUGAUACUGGAUUAUCGUAAUUUAAAUUUGGAGCAAUGGCUGUUCCGGGAACUCCCUUCACAGUUAGCUGGAGGGGGUCAACUUGUCACGUACCCUUUACCUUUUGAGUUUAGAGCUAUAGAAGCACUCCUGCAAUAUUGGAUCAACACCCUUCAAGGGAAACUUAGCAUUUUGCAGCCACUGAUCCUUGAGACACUGGAUGCUUUAGUGGAUCCCAGACAUUCUUCUGUAGACAGAAGCAAACUGCAUGUCUUACUACAAAAUGGCAAAAGUCUAUCAGAGUUAGAAACAGAUAUUAAAAUUUUCAAAGAGUCCAUUUUGGAGAUCUUAGAUGAAGAAGAGUUGCUAGAAGAGCUCUGCCUGACAAAAUGGAGUGACCCGCA